This is a non-coding RNA of Salmo salar (Atlantic salmon), 514 nucleotides long. The record is from RefSeq and is a predicted model, not a curated record. Lineage: Eukaryota; Metazoa; Chordata; Actinopteri; Salmoniformes; Salmonidae.
AUUAUGGCCUUGUUUAGCAUUAUUUACUCCAAAUAUGGCAUGAUUACACUAUUUGUAUCCGUUUGAUUCACUUUCAAUGGGGCUUUUAUUUUGAAGGCGACCUGCAAAUUCCACUAUUGUGGUUUAUCCUUAUUGUGGCUAGUUUCACAUAGGUGAAUUCACCAACACUGACCCGCAGAGAAGGACUAAACUGAUCAUUACUGUCAACCAGACAAGGACAACUGAAAUCCACAUAUUAAAACGUUUGAUGUAGUCUGAAAAUUGGGACAGGAAUCACAAAAACAAUCACAAGUUCAUAACAAGAGGACCAAUAGUAAGUCAUCCUGAAUGGAUCCCCCAAACAGAGGGGGGCAACGGAGAGGUAGAGGAGGAGCCAACCAUGUCAAUCACAGAAGAGGUGCUGAGGCUGGUCAGAGAGAAGAGGAAGGGAUAGCCAACCAAGGGAGAGGGGGAAGAGGUAGGGGGGCCAGGGAAGAGAGGAGAGGGGUUAAUGGGGGGAACCCGAGGGAGGAUA